Molecule: ribosomal RNA, 508 nt
Filed under: uncultured bacterium
Lineage: Bacteria
Description: bacterial SSU rRNA
Rfam family: Bacterial small subunit ribosomal RNA
Source: RNAcentral
CUGGUCUUGACAUCCACGGAAGUUUUCAGAGAUGAGAAUGUGCCUUCGGGAACCGUGAGACAGGUGCUGCAUGGCUGUCGUCAGCUCGUGUUGUGAAAUGUUGGGUUAAGUCCCGCAACGAGCGCAACCCUUAUCCUUUGUUGCCAGCGGUCCGGCCGGGAACUCAAAGGAGACUGCCAGUGAUAAACUGGAGGAAGGUGGGGAUGACGUCAAGUCAUCAUGGCCCUUACGACCAGGGCUACACACCGUGCUACAAUGGCGCAUACAAAGAGAAGCGACCUCGCGAGAGCAAGCGGACCUCAUAAAGUGCGUCGUAGUCCGGAUUGGAGUCUGCAACUCGACUCCAUGAAGUCGGAAUCGCUAGUAAUCGUGGAUCAGAAUGCCACGGUGAAUACGUUCCCGGGCCUUGUACACGCCGCCCGUCACACCAUGGGAGUGGGUUGCAAAAGAAGUAGGUAGCUUAACCUUCGGGAGGGCGCUUACCACUUUGUGAUUCAUGACUGGGGUG